UUAAAAUUUGGAGGGCUGCCCAAUUUUUGGCAUGGCGCCCAAAAUCUCCUCUUCAUUUCUCUGUCGCAGCUUCUCUACUUUUCCUCUUCAGAAAUUUCCAAGCGCCUCCACCCCUGCCUACCUGAGCCCAAUUCCACCGUUUUUUUUGGUUUCUGCUACUAACCCUAGGUGAUUCUUCACUUUGUCUUCUAUGCCUGUGUUCCUCCCCGUGCCUCCAUCUCCCUCACUCUCAGUCAGUCGUCAUCAUUCACACCACUCUCUUUUGCAGCCUUGUAAACCCUCACAGGUUGCAGCCUUGCAUCCUCGCAGCCCCGCAACCUCGCCGUCAAGCACUUGCCCGCCUCGCCGUCUCGACAGCCAUCACAGAGGUUACUCCAGGAGUUUGUUGAAAAACAUGAAAAUGGGUUCAAAGUGGUGUAUGUUUUGGCUGGCUGGUUGAAGAGCGAUCCUUCAAGCUACCAUAUAAGGCUUGUUUCUGGGCCUAAAUUUACAGGACAAUGUUGCACUUAUUGUUAUAUUAGAAAUGGUGGAAAAUGAGGGCUCAUCUGAUAGCAAUCGACCUACAAUUUAUGUGGUUGUAACCCUUAUCCAUGCACUUGAGAAAAUUUCCAAGUUGAAGAUUCCCUUGCUGAUUUGAACUCUGUGCCUCAGAGUGAUCCUUAUAUGUUCAUAAGCAAAGGCAGAGUUGAGAUUCUUGCCAGCAUGGAAACUGAUAAAUCGGGCGUGUUGCAGACAGUCAAGCUUUCUCAUUCAUUGAAUGUGGUAAGUGCAUAUGCAACUUUUUUUUUUAGUCGCAUGGGGUCGAGGAUCACCAACGUGAGAAGAUGAAUCCUGAAACCAAGGAGCCUUUGUUCACCAACUUUAUACCAUUCUUCUUUGGGAACUAUUUGUUAUAGUCUUUUUCUUUUUUGUUCGGACAUCUUGUAUGUACAUUUUCAUAUAUUUAUAAUUAAAUACAUUUUCUUGUUU
Pyrus x bretschneideri (Chinese white pear) is the source of this 969-nucleotide long non-coding RNA. RefSeq lists it as uncharacterized. NCBI's taxonomy places the organism in Eukaryota, Viridiplantae, Streptophyta, Magnoliopsida, Rosales, Rosaceae. The transcript is spliced from 6 exons. The record is from RefSeq and is a predicted model, not a curated record.